Micropterus dolomieu (smallmouth bass) is the source of this 1299-nucleotide long non-coding RNA. RefSeq lists it as uncharacterized. The transcript is spliced from 2 exons. The record is from RefSeq and is a predicted model, not a curated record. NCBI's taxonomy places the organism in Eukaryota, Metazoa, Chordata, Actinopteri, Centrarchiformes, Centrarchidae.
UGCUGAUUUCAGUUUAUUUCAGUACCCAUGAAAAUCAGCCUGAAGAGACUGACCAGGUGGAAAUUCUGAGCACAGUGAGACACAGGCAGUUAACAGCAGAUGAAAUGCUGUUUUUGCUGACCUCCAGUGGUGUACGUUCACACCUUAUCACAGGGAUGUAGACGUGAAUACAGCAUGGUUCAGUACAUGUCAGGAGUCAUACCAACAUACUGUAUUGUAAGUGAAAUUUUAAUUAUAAUUACAAAUCUCUUACAAGUUUUUCUUUUUGUCUGUACAGCCAUAUGAGCUGGUUGGUAAACGCGGAGCUGCUCUUCUCUACGUGAAGAUGUGUUAAUCAGUAAGCAGACUGUGGAAAAACAGUCAAGUAUGAUGACAUUAUGCUCUCGUUAAGUUGUAAAACUCAACCUGCAGUCAAUCAAGUCACUUCCUCACAUACCAGCAUUGAGCUCUGGGGUUCAUCGGUUCCUGAGGACUUUAAACGGGAGUCCGUGUCCUGGUAUGAUGACAUCAACAAUGCGUAGCGCCUCCUGGCGGCUGACCUCCUGAACUGAAGUGUUCAUACUCUGAUCGCGCCAGCUGUCCUCAUCUGAACAGCGCUCAAAUAAGUCCCCUGCAACAAGCACCGUGCCCGCUGAGGUUCCCUUCACCAGGACGCUGACAUCUUGUCCGGAGUGGCCUGGACUGGGAACUACAGACACCUGUGGGAGAGAGAAGACUGUGUAAAAACUGAAACUGUCAGGAGGCUGAGGGCUACGGAGUUCAGUCACAGUCUGACUCCUCUUUUUUCUUUUUUAAAGUCUCUUUUCCUCUAUGUAGUGUUACUUUUGCCAGCUAUUUUUAGAUUCAUUCUAAGUCCUAAGACCAAAAGUCCACGUUAGUUUUAGGCAGUCUAAUCCUUUUUAUUUUAAUUCGACUAAAACUCUACACAUUUUAAUACGAUCUGCAAAAAAAUGAAACUAAAAUCAUAAUGCCAUUGUUUUGACAGAUAUUGUGAUGAGUCACUAUUUUAGAGGGAAUGGUAAUUUUUGAAUUUAUUUUCACAAAAAACGAAAUUACAAUGUGAUUUCUGCUGGGGUCUGUGUUAUAAAGCAACAUACAUACUUGCUUUGUUGGUAUCGGACAUGAGAAAGUGCUAUUGAGCCAUCCUCAGGUUCCACAUGGCCCACAUAGCAGACAAAACUAGUAAUACAAUCACUGGAACAUCAGUUAAAGCUGGACAAAUGCCCAAUGGUGUUAAUUGUUAAUUAAAAUAAAUAAAGCAUUUCUAUUUGAAUUAAUAAAGAUGAUUUUAUGGCUCUG